GCGUCAGCAGCCGCGGUAAUACGUAGGCGGCAAGCGUUAUCCGGAAUUAUUGGGCGUAAAGCGCGCGGAGGUGGUUUCUUAAGUCUGAUGUGAAAGCCCACGGCUCAACCGUGGAGGGUCAUUGGAAACCGGGAGACUGGAGUGCAGAAGAGGAAAGUGGAAUUCCAUGUGUAGCGGUGAAAUGCGUAGAGAUAUGGAGGAACACCAGUGGCGAAGGCGACUUGCUGGUCUGUAACUGACACCGAGGCGCGAAAGCGUGGGGAGCAAACAGGA
Molecule: ribosomal RNA, 273 nt
Filed under: uncultured prokaryote
Description: partial 16S ribosomal RNA
Rfam family: Bacterial small subunit ribosomal RNA
Source: RNAcentral